Molecule: long non-coding RNA, 985 nt
Filed under: Rhinopithecus bieti (black snub-nosed monkey)
Lineage: Eukaryota; Metazoa; Chordata; Mammalia; Primates; Cercopithecidae
Description: lncRNA (ENSRBIG00000045371.1)
Source: RNAcentral
UGGCUUGGGUACUCCGGCUCAGCUCAGCUGGGGAGUCCCCUUACCCAGCCCGCACAGGCACCCCGAAGCUUCAAAGUUGCGGCAAACAGUUGCGGGGAGCAGAGGAGCUGAGGUCGAGGCCAGCGCGCCCGCGGCCGCUAGCCCUGGGGAGAGGGCUGAGCCGAGGGUCGUGCGGGUGCGUGGCAUAGGCGGGAGGAGGCGGAGGAGAGGGGGAGAAGGAGGGGCCGGCGGGGAGCAGCUGCCGGGGGAGGCGAGGCGCAAGGUGGCUCCCCGCGGCCCCGCGCCCCGCGGCUCCCGGACGCACCAGGCAGCCAAUGGCUGUGCAGAGGUGUACAGCAGAUGGCGUCCGACUGCGCCGUUCCUUCUUCCUCCUCCUCCUUCUCUUCCUCCUCCUCCUCCUCCUCCUCCUCCAGUGCUGAGGAGCCAGAGUCGCCGCCGGGUUGCCAGACGCUGGAAUGGGUGGUCUCCCGAUACACACCACCAUCUUUCUUGCGCUCGGGAAGCUUGGGGCUCGGCGGCUCCCAGAGGCUACGGCGGCGGCUCUGGCGAGACGGGAAUAGGCAAGUCAAGAGGCUGAAAAAUCUGAAGCAUGUUUCCAAAGAGCAACCUGACAGUCACUUGCUGGGUAUGGAGUGGCAUGAGGAAGCUCUUUCUAUUGCUUUCUCUCUUGCUGUCCCAUGCAGCUCAUUUGGAAUGCAAAAAGGAUAACCAGUUCAUCUGGAAACCAGGGAUACUGAAGAAAGACUGUUGGCCCAUAGUUGUGCAUGGCAUUCUCUCGAUGUGGAAGAAAGGACCAAACCAAAGAAAGGACCUCCUUUGCUUCAACUCAGAUUCUUUUGUGUUUUAGGCAGGUGGUGCGGAGAGAUACACAUAGGUUGUAAUUGUGAUAAAGGCUCCCACGUUUGGUGGCUAGAUACUGAAAGUACUUUUAAACAACUGCCUGUUUAGGUGAUUGAAAGACUUCUACCAUUGACUUGGUUCUCUG